RNAcentral lists this transfer RNA (94 nucleotides) under Acidobacteriota bacterium. Its description in RNAcentral is "Acidobacteria bacterium (rhizosphere metagenome) tRNA-Sec". The record is from RNAcentral. Lineage: Bacteria; Pseudomonadati; Acidobacteriota.
GGAAGCGCAUGGGGCCCGGUGAUCCUCCCGGUGUUCAAAACCGGCGGUUGGCGGGUUUGCCCUUCAAUGGUGGGUUCGACACUCGUUUCCGCCA